RNAcentral lists this ribosomal RNA (406 nucleotides) under uncultured bacterium. Its description in RNAcentral is "partial 16S ribosomal RNA". It matches the Rfam family "Bacterial small subunit ribosomal RNA", at positions 30 to 526 of the family's 1533-position model. The record is from RNAcentral.
AUUGAACGCUGGCGGCAGGCCUAACACAUGCAAGUCGAGCGAGCGGCGGACGGGUGAGUACUGUGUGGGUAACUGCCUGAUGGAGAGCGCUAACGACAGUAAACGGUAACUAAUACCGCAUCCCAUCAAUCCUGCCCAGAUGGGUUUAGUUAGAAGGUGGGGGACCGGCCCACCAAGGUGACGAUCCGUAGCUGGUCUGAGAGGCUGACCAGCAACACUGGAACUGAGACACGGUCCAGACUCCUACGGGAGGAAGCAGUGGGGAAUAUUGCACAAUGGGCGCAGGGCUGAUGCAGCCAUGCCGCGUGUGUGAAGAAGGCCUUCGGAUUGUAAAGCACUUUCAGCGGGGAGGCGUUACCCACAGAAGAAGCACCGGCUAACUCCGUGCCAGCCGCCGCGGUAAUUC